This 489-nucleotide ribosomal RNA is filed under the name uncultured bacterium. RNAcentral's name for it is "partial 16S ribosomal RNA". It matches the Rfam family "Bacterial small subunit ribosomal RNA", at positions 28 to 507 of the family's 1533-position model. The record is from RNAcentral.
GAUGAACGCUAGCUACAGGCUUAACACAUGCAAGUCGAGGGGCAGCAUGAUUGAAGCUUGCUUCAAUCGAUGGCGACCGGCGCACGGGUGAGUAACACGUAUCCAACCUGCCGAUAACUCGGGGAUAGCCUUUCGAAAGAAAGAUUAAUACCCGAUAGUAUAGUAUUUCCGCAUGGUUUCACUAUUAAAGAACUUCGGUUAUCGAUGGGGAUGCGUUCCAUUAGAUAGUUGGCGGGGUAACGGCCCACCAAGUCAACGAUGGAUAGGGGUUCUGAGAGGAAGGUCCCCCACAUUGGAACUGAGACACGGUCCAAACUCCUACGGGAGGCAGCAGUGAGGAAGAUUGGUCAAGGGACGAGAGUCUGAACCAGCCAAGUAGCGUGAAGGAUGACUGCCCUAUGGGUUGUAAACUUCUUUUAUACGGGAAUAAAGUGGAGUAGGCAUACUCCUUUGUAUGUACCGUAUGAAUAAGGAUCGGCUAACUCCGUG